CCGCAACCAAGUCAAGCUAUAUUGAAGACCUUCAAGAUUGGGUUCCAAUCAUUCAGUAAAAUUGUGGAGACUAAGACUAUGAGGGUUACCAUAGUUCUGACUAUGCUCUUGUUGCUUAUUGGCCAAAGCUCUGCAAGCUACAAAGACUGCUUUCCAUGUUGCUUUCCUAAUUGCAGGUCUCGGGGUAAUGGGAAGAUAUAUUGCAAUUAGUUAUGCUUCUUUGAGUACAUUUCUGUACCUACACCAGUAUUUCCCCGAGCCCCACCUCAGGCUGAGUCUAACUGCAGCUCUGAGUGUGCUAAGUCCGCAUGUGCUCAUCAUGACCCAGAAGGGAAGGAUGGGAGGCCUGCGUUGAUGAUCGUGUGAAGAAAUGCACUACUUAGCAGCAAGGAUCUUUUUAAAGGAAGCAUAUUAUAUAAAUCUAUAAAUAUAUGUUAAUAAGCCUUCAGUUGUGUGACUGUAUCUAAAGAAUGAUAAAUAAUGGACAACUACUACCUUUUAGUAAUGUUCAGAAAUCUUUCUUAUGAAUUAUCUCUGUGUGUGAAAUUUAUGUGUAACUAAUGAUAUAAUUAGUUGUCAUAAUGUUGGCUGCCUGUUUCAAGCUAAUUUCAACAAUAUGGCUUAGCUUACAUUUGGUUA
This is a long non-coding RNA of Asparagus officinalis (garden asparagus), 639 nucleotides long. RefSeq lists it as uncharacterized. The transcript is spliced from 3 exons. NCBI's taxonomy places the organism in Eukaryota, Viridiplantae, Streptophyta, Magnoliopsida, Asparagales, Asparagaceae. The record is from RefSeq and is a predicted model, not a curated record.